Long non-coding RNA from Drosophila yakuba, 4900 nucleotides. RefSeq lists it as uncharacterized. The record is from RefSeq and is a predicted model, not a curated record. Lineage: Eukaryota; Metazoa; Arthropoda; Insecta; Diptera; Drosophilidae. The transcript has 2 exons.
CAGUUGCUAAUAAACAAAAGUUUACAAGGCGGGAGCGGUUGAAGGUCUUGCAGGUUGGAUUUGUAUUUAAAAGAUACAAGAUUAAAGAUUUCCGCAUAGUUUCGAAAGAAUUCUGUAGUUGGAUACAAACAUCUGCGAUUCGCGCUAGAAAAAUAGUAACCCGACCUUGUCUCAGUAUAUUAACAAGCCAUAACAAGAAGCCUUAAUUUCAUUAAACUUUUAAUUGAGUUUGUCACAAAUUAGUUGUGCCGACUUACUCGGCUCUCACUCCUGUAAACUUCUAAGAUCUAUAAAAAAGAAACAGUAGUGUAACCAUGAAAUAGCCAAUAGCUUCGUAUUUGCAUAUCCAACCGAGUUUUUGAACUAAAUUGCCAAAACGCUUUUGGCUCUGCGAAGCUGACUGGAAAAAGCGGCACAAGCUUGAGCAAGUUCGACCAGCCGCUGAAUCAGACUUCACGUUGAAAAUCGAGAAAUAAACGUCGAAACUUACAUAUAUACUCACAUUCGUAUAAACACAUAUUUGCGAUAUACACCCAUGUGUGAGUCCUGCGCUGCAAAAUCCCUAACGAUGCCAAUUAAGGGACUGUUUGUUUGCUGUGCCAACAAAUUAGCUUGCAUCAACAUGGCAAAAAGCUAAAAAUGUUUAAAAAGCUGAAUAUGUAAAUCAAAUGAUUAUCAGACUUUUAUUCAGGAAAGCGUCAACGCAGCAUCUUUACAAAUAGACGCUUCAUAAGAAUGCUUGUAGAUUGUUAAGGGCAUCAGUAAGUAAAGUCCUAUAUUAAACGUGAGCAAAUUUCAAAUACAUAAUAAAGAAGAAAUAAAAAAUAUAUGUAACUGGCAGAAUAAAGAAAAGUUUUAUCGGGUAAAGGAACAGGCCUGGCUAAAGGAGAGGGGAUAUCGCCAAUAAUAAAAUAUCAUCCACAGGGUAAUCAAUAAAUUAUUCAAGAAUUUCGCAGCAAGCAGCUAUUAAGCGUAUAAAGUUUAAGGCUUUAAAUAAAAGUCAAAAUUUACAACUUUUACAAAGCCUUAAAAGUGUUUAACCUUUGAUAUCCAGAAUCUAUCCGACUUUUUCCUGCUACCUCUUAGUUUAUUUAUUUUUCGGUUCUGCCGCAGUGAAAAUGUGUGUGAAAUUCUAUCAUCUGUUGCUUCCGGCCAAUGCAAAUGUGAAUCCUGAUGGCCUCCGUGCGAAAAGCCCCUUUGACAUUCUCAAUCAAUUCAUGUUAGCCAAAUCUACACCCACUAUCAGCCAACAUAUAGGAUGUCACACAGCUCGGCGGCAAAUUGAGUUUAAGCUGGUGCUGUCUUUUUUUCGCGGGCCUCACAUGUGCGGAAAAGUGGGCGGGAACACGCCCAUAACAUAGUGUAGUGGUGGCCGUGGAUGCAAAUGAAGUGCAGCGAGUGGAGCGGAGUUAAUUGCUUUCAUAGAGCGCCUAACCUAAAAAGUAUGCUAAGCAAACGGGUGCGUUUUAGUUUUCCUGGUAAAGCGAGCGAAGAGGCCAAGUUAUUAAAAAACUUUUGCUCUCGUAUCCAGGUUAUUCCUUUCCAAGUAUUGCCUCCACCUACCGAUUUUUUCCUACACCCAAAUUGGUGGCGAGAGCAAAUUCACAGAGCCCAUAAAAAUAAUCAUAAAUUUUCCUGCUCUCUCGUUUGUGGGAAAUUGCAGGACAAACAGUUGUUAAAAGCUCCAAGAGUCGUAAAUUUAUGGGGGUGUUUGGGCGCAGGAAGAGGUGGAUCUGGAGCUGACCGGUAUUCUGGAUACCGGGUAUGCAUAUUGACUGGCACAUCGCAUUUUCCUCGCACUUUUCCAAUGGCGAUUAAUGCUAAUAGAGAAGCCCCGCCCAAAAAUUAUGACAAACAAACGCAGGAACAAAGACAAGAAACACUGUGAGGAAGAACACCCUUUGUGGACUUUCACCGCCUGGCUGGCGUCGUUUUCUUCAAUCUACUCUACUUACAUUCUGUUUAUUAAACAAAAACACUCAAAUUGGGACCACAGGCAAGCCCACAUAUUGUCCAUGACGAAGGGCCCCGAGAAGAAACGCGGAAAAUCUGUCGGUAGGGAAAACUGCCCGCCAGGUAGGCGGACACUGAUAACAGCGAGUUCCUUUCAUAUUUUCAUUGAAAAUUGUUUCGCUUCUUGUGUCGCUGGCACGCCAGGCCCAUGGGCAAAAUUUUCGAGUGGGAUGUGGAAUCGUGACAUUCUUGCUAAAUUGUUUGCUUUCGCUGAAAAGUAUCUUAAGAGGGUCGCCUUUGCAGUUGCAAAAUAUACGCAAGAAACGAGAAACUAUUUUUUCAUAUGUAUAAAAAAGUAUAUUUUAAUGUUUUAAGAAUGUAAAUAACUUUUAUGCAUACAAUAGUAUCCUGCAAAACCGAAGAACUGCAAAACCGCCCCAUAAAUUCGCUUGUCUGUUGCUUUUGGCAUAUUGAGGCACUUAAUUUAUGCGCACGGAGGGGUUGGAAUGGGGGUGUGAUCGAAGGAUGUGGCAGAGGGCACUGCGGGGCAGGAACUGCCAAUCGACACAUUUUGGGAAAGGUGGAAUCGGUGUUGGAAUCGAGGGAAAACAUCGCCUCCGGUCAUAUCGACACCGUCUUGUGGCAGCGCCCAGGAACCGCAAGUCGGGAAGGCCAUUAAUGACAAGUUAAAACAACAUAAUUUAGUGGCCGCCUUUGGGACCAAACAUAAACAAUUUCCUUACAAAAGCGUUGAAAGGGCCCUAAAACGUUUUCUACUUGGCCAGAGGUGAGAAUUGAAGGGAAGUCCGAGGGCAACAACGUUGCCCAAAUCGGCGAAUAGAUUAUCAGCUUUGUUGUGGGUAGAUUACAAUUAUGUAAAUUACGGUUCGGGCAAGUCAAGUUUUAUGUUUAUUAUUUGCGGAUUUCCAGGAAUCUUAACGCACUUGUGGUGUUGCGUAAUUGGGAGAUGCAAAUUUGCAAAGUGUCAACAAAAGUUACAUGCAGUUAUUUAUGAUUAUAUCUUUGUUAGGUGACAUCCAUAUUACUUUGGUUAUUCGCGAUUCCUCGUUUAAUUUAUUUACGAACGGUUCUCAGUUCAAAGGUUUAAUUUAACUUUAAGGCCGGAAUAUCCUUUUCAUUAAUUUGGAAUCUAAUUGUAUUAAAACCAUUCUUGAUUUUGCAUUACCGCAUCUGGUUACAGAUACUAGUGGAAAUGUGGCCAGCAAUUGCAAGCCAGAUAAGAAAUUCGGAACAUAAGCAAUGAAGUGCACAGACCUUGAACUUGCUCUUUAACGCUUCUGGGUUGGCUUCAUCUGUCUUCAGUUAAACUUAUCGCCGAAACUUUUGGGCGCGGAAAAGUAAAAUAAACUUGGCCGAAAUGCCAGGAGUGUGCUUUAUUGUCGAUUGGGUAUUUAUGACUUCUUCACAAACAUUUUAGUGUGAAAAUAAGAGAUUAAAGAUUGAAUAAAUCAUAGUUGAUUGAAUGAAUCUUAGUUGAAUUAGACAGCAAGACAACUACUAAAGAAGAUGUCACAGCACUGAUUUGCUUGAACAAAUCCAAACGUUUGACUGUAAAAUUCCCGCAUAAUUGUACCAAUAUACACAACUCCACAAAUAUAGCACAAAGCAGACUUGAACUAAAUCUACUACCGAUUGUCAACCCAUCUUCUGCCCGUCACUUGUCACAUGUAAUGCCCCACAGGAAUAAUGUUAUGUAUAAAACAAGGAACAGAGGCAAAAAAGCUUUUUUAUUGGCCAAAUUAAAUUACUUUGGACUUUUGGGGGCCCACAGCAAUGUGUGCAAAAUAAUUUUUCCCCUGUUACCAACUCAUUUUUUUCAGCACUCACUUUAUGGGAACCAGGUUUUAGUUAGCGUUUGGCUUUAAAAAGCACAAUGUUAAUAAUUGCUCAAAACUGUAACCCAAAAAUAUUUCCCUAAAAUAAAAAUAAGUUUAAUAUAAAUACAACUUGAAAAGAAAGCAUAAUUUGUUUAGCACUUUCUUAAUAAGGUUGGGAAAUUAAGUUCUAUUCAAAUUGUAACUUUGAUCAAUUACAUUCUUUAAAUCAGUUCGACUUCUUGAUUGAGCUCCAUUCAGUGGUUUUAACUCACAGCUUCAUGGACACAGAAAAUUCAUAUUUGGCAGGGGUGUGAGCCAAAAUCAGUGUAUGAAUGAGAAAAUAUUUAGCAGGAAAGCGUAAAGCGUGCUUUCACUUUUCGGUUGCACAUAGUGUGUACAUGCAACAAUCCGUUCAUUGAUAGUGACUAGUUGGUCUCGUUGUCCCGUUGAUAUUCUGCUAAUUGGCGGAAAACAAGGAGGCUUUUAAGUACGGUAUUGACUCGAAUUAAAUGUCCAAUUGGCUCUCUUAGUAGUUAAACGGCGUGAAACCAAAAUAAUUGGGAAACAUGCUCAAUUUUAUAUUUGAUUAUAUUUACUAUAGACUGAAAAGGAAACUCGAUGUGAUGAUAUUUUAUCUUCAUGCAGUUUCAGUGUACUUUAAAGCUGCUCUUCUGGAAACAUCUCAUCCAGCUAAUGACUAAAAAACGCAUUCCGUUUUUGUAUUUAAAUAUGGCAGUGCAUGCGUUCAUACCCCAGAAUCCGCGGCAUAUCGAUCUACCCCGUUUUUAGGCCCUUAUCUGUGGGCGGAUUUUAUUGCGGGGUGCUCUUACAUGGUCGAAACGCACAGUGUAGGCAAAUGUUGGAGCGCAGUGGUUGGGAAUCAAGAGGAAACUCGGGAAACUGGUAGCCAGGGCAACAGAAUCGCCGGGUUCUGGGGUUCGCUCAUUUCACGCUCUGCCAAUACAAGAAUGAAGCUUAUGCACUUGUCGGUCUCAUUGACGUAAUUCUCGAUGUGGCUGUUGCAUUGCAUUCCAUGCAUUCAAGCCGACUAAUGCAAAUAACGAGUUAACAUUAAGACGGAAAGGUGACUUUAAUGACAUCUUAAAAUA